RNAcentral lists this ribosomal RNA (505 nucleotides) under uncultured bacterium. RNAcentral's name for it is "bacterial SSU rRNA". It matches the Rfam family "Bacterial small subunit ribosomal RNA", at positions 501 to 1008 of the family's 1533-position model. The record is from RNAcentral.
CUACGUGCCAGCAGCCGCGGUAAUACGGAAGGUCCGGGCGUUAUCCGGAUUUAUUGGGUUUAAAGGGAGCGUAGGCCGGAGAUUAAGUGUGUUGUGAAAUGUAGACGCUCAACGUCUGACUUGCAGCGCAUACUGGUUUCCUUGAGUACGCACAACGUUGGCGGAAUUCGUCGUGUAGCGGUGAAAUGCUUAGAUAUGACGAAGAACUCCGAUUGCGAAGGCAGCUGACGGGAGCGCAACUGACGCUUAAGCUCGAAGGUGCGGGUAUCGAACAGGAUUAGAUACCCUGGUAGUCCGCACAGUAAACGAUGGAUGCCCGCUGUUGGUACCUGGUAUCAGCGGCUAAGCGAAAGCAUUAAGCAUCCCACCUGGGGAGUACGCCGGCAACGGUGAAACUCAAAGGAAUUGACGGGGGCCCGCACAAGCGGAGGAACAUGUGGUUUAAUUCGAUGAUACGCGAGGAACCUUACCCGGGCUCGAAUUGCAGAGGAAGGAUUUAGAGAUA